AAUUAAGGCUAGGGGUGCCCCCGUUACACGGGGCUGAGAAAUACCCUUCGAACCUGAUCCGGUUGAUACCGGCGUAGGAAAGCUGCCUCGUCACGAG
Molecule: non-coding RNA, 97 nt
Filed under: Candidatus Muproteobacteria
Lineage: Bacteria; Pseudomonadati; Pseudomonadota
Description: TPP sequence
Rfam family: TPP riboswitch aptamer (THI element)
About the family: Vitamin B(1) in its active form thiamin pyrophosphate (TPP) is an essential coenzyme that is synthesised by coupling of pyrimidine and thiazole moieties in bacteria.
Source: RNAcentral